This 2215-nucleotide ribosomal RNA is filed under the name Anaerotignum lactatifermentans. RNAcentral's name for it is "partial 23S ribosomal RNA". It matches the Rfam family "Bacterial large subunit ribosomal RNA", at positions 1 to 2236 of the family's 2925-position model. The record is from RNAcentral. Lineage: Bacteria; Bacillati; Bacillota; Clostridia; Lachnospirales; Anaerotignaceae.
GGUCAAGCAAGAAAGAGCACAGGGUGAAUGCCUUGGCACUGGGAGCCGAUGAAAGACGUGGUAAGCUGCGAAAAGCUUCGGGGAGGCGCAAACAGCCAUCGAUCCGGAGAUUUCUGAAUGGGGAAACCUACUUGAGCAAACCUCAAGUAUCCAUACGUGAAUCCAUAGCGUAUGGAAGGGAACGUUGUGAACUGAAACAUCUAAGUAGCAAUAGGAGGAGAAAGAAAAAUCGAUUUCCUAAGUAGCGGCGAGCGAAAGGGAAAGAGGCCAAACCGAAGGACCUGGUUCUUCGGGGUUGUGGACUGCAUCAAGCGAUGGAGGCUAUGGUAGUCGAACUGUUUUGGGAAAGCAGACCAAAGACGGUGAAAGUCCGGUAGACGAAACCAGAAGACCCGCUGCAGGAUCCAGAGUACCACGGGACACGAGAAACCCUGUGGGAAGCCGGGGGGACCACCCCCCAAGCCUAAAUACUCCCCAGUGACCGAUAGUGAAGCAGUACUGUGAAGGAAAGGUGAAAAGAACCCCGGGAGGGGAGUGAAAAAGAACCUGAAACCUUGUGCUUACAAACAGUCAGAGGUCUACGGACUGAUGGCGUACUUUUUGUAGAACGGUCCGGCGAGUUACUAAUGCCAGCGAGGUUAAGUGGUCAGAAGCCACGGAGCCGAAGGGAAACCAAGUCUGAACAGGGCGUAAAGUUAGUAUUAGUAGACCCGAAACCGGGUGACCUAUCCAUGUCCAGGUUGAAGGAGCCGUAAAAGGCUUUGGAGGACCGAACACACAUCUGUUGAAAAAGGUGGUGAUGAGGUGUGGAUAGCGGAGAAAUUCCAAUCGAACUCGGAGAUAGCUGGUUCUCCUCGAAAUAGCUUUAGGGCUAGCCUCGAGAUGGAGUCUAACGGAGGUAAAGCACUGAACUGACGCGGGGCCCAAAAAGGUUACCAACUCAUAUCAAACUAAGAAUGCCGUCAAGAUACCCUCGGGAGUCAGUCUGCGUGAGAUAAGUCGCGUGGACAAAAGGGAAAGAGCCCAGACCGACAGCUAAGGUCCCAAAGUACGUGUUAAGUGGAAAAGGAUGUGGGAUUUCAUAGACAACUAGGAUGUUGGCUUAGAAGCAGCCAUACAUUUAAAGAGUGCGUAACAGCUCACUAGUCGAGAAAACCUGCGCCGAAAAUUUAACGGGGCUAAAACACGACACCGAAGCUACGGCUUGACAGCUAACGCUGUUAGGGGUAGAGGAGCAUCCUGCAAGGACGAAGCCAAAGUGGAAACGAUGGUGGACGAAACAGGAGAGAGAAUGCCGGAAUGAGUAGCGAGAUAGAAGUAAGAAACUUCUAGGCCGAAUAUCUAAGGUUUCCUGGGUAAAGCUAAUCUUCCCAGGGUUAGUCGGGGCCUAAGGCGAGGACGAAAGUCGUAGUCGAUGGAUAACAGGUUGAUAUUCCUGUACUACGUAUCAUCAGAACUGUGGGGACGCAGGAGGAUAGGAAAACCGGGGAAUGGAAAAACCCGGCUAAGCACAAAGUCAAGGGAGAUAGGCAAAUCCGUCUCUUGAUGAUGAAGUGCGAUGGGGACUGAACAAAAGUAGGGAAGUUUCCGAAUCCACACUGUCGAGAAAAGCCGCUAUUGUGUGAUACGUACCCGUACCGUAAACCGACACAGGUAGAUGAGGAGAAAAUCCACAGGCCGACGGGAGAAGUGUUGUUAAGGAACUCGGCAAAAUGACCCCGUAACUUAGGGAGAAGGGGAGCCACGCAAGUGGCCGCAGAAAAGAGGCUCAAGCGACUGUUUAGCAAAAACACAGGUCUCUGCGAAACCGAAAGGUGAAGUAUAGGGGCUGACACCUGCCCGGUGCUGGAAGGUUAAAAGGAGAGGUUCGACGUAAGUCAAAGCUUUGAAUUCAAGCCCCAGUAAACGGCGGCCGUAACUAUAACGGUCCUAAGGUAGCGAAAUUCCUUGUCAGGUAAGUUCUGACCCGCACGAAAGGUGUAACGAUUUGAGCACUGUCUCGACAACACGCCCGGUGAAAUUGAAGAACCAGUGAAGAUACUGGUUACCCGCAACAGGACGGAAAGACCCCAUGGAGCUUUACUGCAGCCUGAUACUGGGAUUCGAUGAUAUAUGUACAGGAUAGGAGGGAGACUAGGAAUCCGGGACGCCAGUUUCGGAGGAGUCGACGGUGGGAUACCUCUCUUAUGUUAUUGGAUUUCUAACUUGGCACCGU